UACCCGCAGCACAAGUGGUGGUCAUUUUUAUUGGGCCUAAAGCGUCCGUAGCUGGCAUGUUAGAUGCCUGGGUAAAUCGAUGCGCUCAACGCAUCGAAUUCCGGGUACACCGGCAUGCUCGAGACCGGGAGAGGCGUGGGGUACUCGGGGGGUAGGGGUAAAAUCCUGUAAUCCUCCGGGGACGACCAGUGGCGAAGGCGCCACGCUGGAACGGCUCUGACAGUGAGGGACGAAGCCCUGGGGCGCAAACCGG
RNAcentral lists this ribosomal RNA (253 nucleotides) under uncultured bacterium. RNAcentral's name for it is "partial 16S ribosomal RNA". It matches the Rfam family "Archaeal small subunit ribosomal RNA", at positions 474 to 727 of the family's 1478-position model. The record is from RNAcentral.